CGGGAAGUAGCUCAGCUUGGUAGAGCAUUUGGUUUGGGACCAAGGGGUCGCAGGUUCGAAUCCUGUCUUCCCGA
This 74-nucleotide transfer RNA is filed under the name Staphylococcus aureus. RNAcentral describes it as "tRNA-Pro". It matches the Rfam family "tRNA". Rfam says of the family: Transfer RNA (tRNA) molecules are approximately 80 nucleotides in length. Their secondary structure includes four short double-helical elements and three loops (D, anti-codon, and T loops). Lineage: Bacteria; Bacillati; Bacillota; Bacilli; Caryophanales; Staphylococcaceae. RNAcentral also lists the same sequence under 1 other name. The record is from RNAcentral.